This is a non-coding RNA of Bacillus amyloliquefaciens, 98 nucleotides long. The record is from Rfam. NCBI's taxonomy places the organism in Bacteria, Bacillati, Bacillota, Bacilli, Caryophanales, Bacillaceae.
UUCUACGAUGGCAGUCGUAGUUCGAUCAAUGCUGUUAAGAUAGAACGUUUCAGACUUUAGCGAGGAAUGAAACGAUUCGAUGGAGGCAUUAUCAGCGG